This 71-nucleotide transfer RNA is filed under the name Cordylochernes scorpioides. RNAcentral's name for it is "tRNA-Gly". The record is from RNAcentral. Lineage: Eukaryota; Metazoa; Arthropoda; Arachnida; Pseudoscorpiones; Chernetidae.
UGCAUCGGCCGGGAGUCGAACCCGGGCCACCCGCGUGGCAGGCGAGCAUUCUACCACUUAACCACCGAUGC